Molecule: transfer RNA, 75 nt
Filed under: Mycobacteroides abscessus
Lineage: Bacteria; Bacillati; Actinomycetota; Actinomycetes; Mycobacteriales; Mycobacteriaceae
Description: tRNA-Thr(agt)
Rfam family: tRNA
About the family: Transfer RNA (tRNA) molecules are approximately 80 nucleotides in length. Their secondary structure includes four short double-helical elements and three loops (D, anti-codon, and T loops). Further hydrogen bonds mediate the characteristic L-shaped molecular structure. tRNAs have two regions of fundamental functional importance: the anti-codon, which is responsible for specific mRNA codon recognition, and the 3' end, to which the tRNAs corresponding amino acid is attached (by aminoacyl-tRNA synthetases). tRNAs cope with the degeneracy of the genetic code in two manners: having more than one tRNA (with a specific anti-codon) for a particular amino acid; and 'wobble' base-pairing, i.e. permitting non-standard base-pairing at the 3rd anti-codon position.
Source: RNAcentral
GCCGCAUUAGCUCACCAGGUUAGAGCGCUUCCUUAGUAACGAAGAGGUACGGGGUUCGAGGCCUCGAUGCGGCUC